This 1108-nucleotide ribosomal RNA is filed under the name Salmonella enterica. Its description in RNAcentral is "partial 23S ribosomal RNA". It matches the Rfam family "Bacterial large subunit ribosomal RNA", at positions 1077 to 2167 of the family's 2925-position model. The record is from RNAcentral. Lineage: Bacteria; Pseudomonadati; Pseudomonadota; Gammaproteobacteria; Enterobacterales; Enterobacteriaceae.
GGGAAGGCCCAGACAGCCAGGAUGUUGGCUUAGAAGCAGCCAUCAUUUAAAGAAAGCGUAAUAGCUCACUGGUCGAGUCGGCCUGCGCGGAAGAUGUAACGGGGCUAAACCAUGCACCGAAGCUGCGGCAGCGACGCUGAUGCGUUGUUGGGUAGGGGAGCGUUCUGUAAGCCUGCGAAGGUGGCCUGUGAGGGUUGCUGGAGGUAUCAGAAGUGCGAAUGCUGACAUAAGUAACGAUAAAGCGGGUGAAAAGCCCGCUCGCCGGAAGACCAAGGGUUCCUGUCCAACGUUAAUCGGGGCAGGGUGAGUCGACCCCUAAGGCGAGGCCGAAAGGCGUAGUCGAUGGGAAACGGGUUAAUAUUCCCGUACUUGGUGUUACUGCGAAGGGGGGACGGAGAAGGCUAUGUUGGCCGGGCGACGGUUGUCCCGGUUUAAGCGUGUAGGUGUGUGUUCCAGGUAAAUCCGGUUCACUUUAACACUGAGGCGUGAUGACGAGGCACUACGGUGCUGAAGCAACAAAUGCCCUGCUUCCAGGAAAAGCCUCUAAGCAUCAGGUAACAUCAAAUCGUACCCCAAACCGACACAGGUGGUCAGGUAGAGAAUACCAAGGCGCUUGAGAGAACUCGGGUGAAGGAACUAGGCAAAAUGGUGCCGUAACUUCGGGAGAAGGCACGCUGACAUGUAGGUGAAGUGAUUUACUCAUGGAGCUGAAGUCAGUCGAAGAUACCAGCUGGCUGCAACUGUUUAUUAAAAACACAGCACUGUGCAAACACGAAAGUGGACGUAUACGGUGUGACGCCUGCCCGGUGCCGGAAGGUUAAUUGAUGGGGUCAGCGCAAGCGAAGCUCCUGAUCGAAGCCCCGGUAAACGGCGGCCGUAACUAUAACGGUCCUAAGGUAGCGAAAUUCCUUGUCGGGUAAGUUCCGACCUGCACGAAUGGCGUAAUGAUGGCCAGGCUGUCUCCACCCGAGACUCAGUGAAAUUGAACUCGCUGUGAAGAUGCAGUGUACCCGCGGCAAGACGGAAAGACCCCGUGAACCUUUACUAUAGCUUGACACUGAACAUUGAGCCUUGAUGUGUAGGAUAGGUGGGAGGCUUUGAAGUGUGG